UGGGGAAUAUUGCACAAUGGGCGCAAGCCUGAUGCAGCCAUGCCGCGUGUGUGAAGAAGGCCUUCGGGUUGUAAAGCACUUUCAGCGAGGAGGAAGGUGGUGAGCUUAAUACGCUCAUCAAUUGACGUUACUCGCAGAAGAAGCACCGGCUAACUCCGUGCCAGCAGCCGCGGUAAUACGGAGGGUGCAAGCGUUAAUCGGAAUUACUGGGCGUAAAGCGCACGCAGGCGGUUUGUUAAGUCAGAUGUGAAAUCCCCGGGCUCAACCUGGGAACUGCAUUUGAAACUGGCAAGCUAGAGUCUCGUAGAGGGGGGUAGAAUUCCAGGUGUAGCGGUGAAAUGCGUAGAGAUCUGGAGGAAUACCGGUGGCGAAGGCGGCCCCCUGGACGAAGACUGACGCUCAGGUGCGAAAGCGUGGGGAGCAAAACAGGAUUAGAUACCCUGGUAGUCCACGCUGUAAAACGAUGUCGAUUUUGGAGGUUGUGCCCUUGAGGCGUGGCUUCCGGAGCUAACGCGUUAAAUCGACCGCCUGGGGGAGUACGG
This 542-nucleotide ribosomal RNA is filed under the name uncultured bacterium. RNAcentral's name for it is "partial 16S ribosomal RNA". It matches the Rfam family "Bacterial small subunit ribosomal RNA", at positions 355 to 885 of the family's 1533-position model. The record is from RNAcentral.